AUCAGCUGCAUCAAAAUGGAGGGAAUUCAAGUCCCGGCUCACAAGGCAUUACAUUAUGCCUUACUUGGAUGACCCUGAAUCCUUGAAGUUUCCUCCGAAUGAUUAUAGAUUCAUCAAUAAAGAUCAUUGGACCCAAUUUGUGGCUGAACGGACAAACCCACAAUUUAUUGAAGUGCGUAGGUUGGCACAAGCUAGGCGUGCAAAGAAUAAGUAUCCCCACCGAAUGUCCCGUAAGGGAUAUGCUGGGUUGGAGGAAGAGCUGUCUACAACAAUGGAGGAGGAGGAAAUUGAUAGAGCGACACUAUGGAUCGCUGGACGAUAGACCAAGCAGGGAACCUUCAAGGAUGAAGGGACGAAGCAGUGCGCUGAAAAAAUUAGGGACUUGAAGGAGAAGGUUGCUAGUGGAGAAUUAAGCACUAGUGGAAGUAAUGAUGUGUUAACCUUGGCUUUGGGCACUCCUGAGCAUGGUGGUAGAGUGCGAGGGGUGGGAGCUUAUGUGAAUCCCUCAUCUUAUUUUCACACCCCUAAACGUAGAAGGGAGAGCAUCCAAGAGACUAUUCGAAUCAGUGUGCAAAAAAUACUAGAAGAAGAAAAAGAUAAGAUCAUUGAAGAGGCCAAGCAACAGGCAAUUAAAGAAGAGAGGGCAUUUUGGGUUCAUAAGCUUGCACAGCUGGAAGCAAAGGUAGACGCAA
Long non-coding RNA from Rosa chinensis, 692 nucleotides. RefSeq lists it as uncharacterized. Lineage: Eukaryota; Viridiplantae; Streptophyta; Magnoliopsida; Rosales; Rosaceae. The transcript is spliced from 4 exons. The record is from RefSeq and is a predicted model, not a curated record.